RNAcentral lists this unclassified non-coding RNA (654 nucleotides) under Hevea brasiliensis (rubber tree). The record is from RNAcentral. Lineage: Eukaryota; Viridiplantae; Streptophyta; Magnoliopsida; Malpighiales; Euphorbiaceae.
CUGAAACGUAUCCGCUUGAGAUCAUUUCCUCCGCGCGGGAGAGAAACGAAAGUUAUCAGAACACCGGGCUCCACCUGGGCCACCCACUCCUUGGGUUCGUUCUCUUCGACGAACACCACGGGCGGGUCGACCCGGCGCCCACUGCCAUUCAUUGAGUUUGGCGUCCCUUCGCCGCUCGAGCUCGAUAUCCCCUUCAGCCUGGCCUCCAUCUCCUUCCCCCAUGUUCUAGUCGUCGUCGAGCUCGAGCUUCCGGUCCGGCGUAACGACCACCGGAAUCGCUCUGACUCUGCGUCAGACUCGUUCCAGUUGCUCCUGAAACGGCCCUGAGUUGUUGGCACCGUGCAUGGAUUGCAGUGCCGGUAUGCUCCGGAGGCCUUUAAUGCCAUGUCCCUAAGCUGAGUAGUGAGGGAUUUGAUCGCUUGGUGGUGUUUGGUAUUAUGAAUGCUCGUGGUGCCAGACUCAUCGGCUUGACUCAACGAGUCAUCGCCGGGUUGCUUCGUUCGAGGUAUACACGUCAGCAUUUUUCAAUUAUGAAUCAGUUUGGCUUGAGAGUCGCACCGCUAAAAACGAGAUGCUCCUAAAACGCAGUGGCCAUGCAGUGCUUGAAUGCCCGCUUCAGGUAACGCGAUCAGAGAUUCUCUGCUCUCAAAUUUG